AUCCCCUAGUAACUGCGAGUGAAGCGGGAAAAGCUCAAAUUUAAAAUCUGGUGGUCUUUGGCCAUCCGAGUUGUAAUCUAGAGAAGUGUUAUCCGCGCUGGACCGUGUACAAGUCUCCUGGAAUGGAGCGUCAUAGAGGGUGAGAAUCCCGUCUUUGACACGGACUGCCAGGGCUUUGUGAUGCGCUCUCAAAGAGUCGAGUUGUUUGGGAAUGCAGCUCAAAAUGGGUGGUAAAUUCCAUCUAAAGCUAAAUAUUGGCGAGAGACCGAUAGCGAACAAGUACCGUGAGGGAAAGAUGAAAAGAACUUUGGAAAGAGAGUUAAACAGUACGUGAAAUUGCUGAAAGGGAAACGCUUGAAGUCAGUCGCGUUGUUUGGGGAUCAACCUUGCUUUUGCUGGGUGUACUUUCCAGAUGACGGGUCAGCAUCAAUUUUGACCGUUGGAUAAAGUCUGGGGGAAUGUGGCAUCUUCGGAUGUGUUAUAGCCUCUAGUUGUAUACAACGGUUGGGAUUGAGGAACUCAGCACGCCGCAAGGCCGGGUACUUGUACUACGUUCGUGCUUAGGAUGCUGGCAUAAUGGCUUUAAUCGACCCGUCUUGAAACACGGACCAAGGAGUCUAACAUGCCUGCGAGUAUUUGGGUGGAAAACCCGAGUGCGCAAUGAAAGUGAAAGUUGAGAUCCCUGUCAUGGGGAGCAUCGACGCCCGGACCAGACCUUUUGUGACGGAUCUGCGGUAGAGCAUGUAUGUUGGGACCCGAAAGAUGGUGAACUAUGCCUGAAUAGGGUGAAGCCAGAGGAAACUCUGGUGGAGGCUCGUAGCGAUUCUGACGUGCAAAUCGAUCGUCAAAUUUGGGGUAUAGGGGCGAAAGACUAAUCGAACCAUCUAGUAGCUGGUUCCUGCCGA
This 905-nucleotide ribosomal RNA is filed under the name Pholiota microspora. RNAcentral's name for it is "LSU rRNA". It matches the Rfam family "Eukaryotic large subunit ribosomal RNA", at positions 73 to 964 of the family's 3401-position model. The record is from RNAcentral. Lineage: Eukaryota; Fungi; Basidiomycota; Agaricomycetes; Agaricales; Strophariaceae.